This 499-nucleotide ribosomal RNA is filed under the name uncultured bacterium. RNAcentral describes it as "partial 16S ribosomal RNA". It matches the Rfam family "Bacterial small subunit ribosomal RNA", at positions 30 to 523 of the family's 1533-position model. The record is from RNAcentral.
AUUGAACGCUGGCGGAAUGCUUUACACAUGCAAGUCGAACGGCAGCACGGACUUCGGUCUGGUGGCGAGUGGCGAACGGGUGAGUAAUGUAUCGGAACGUGCCCAGUCGUGGGGGAUAACGUAGUGAAAAUUACGCUAUACCGCAUACGAUCUAUGGAUGAAAGCGGGGGAUCGCAAGACCUCGCGCGAUUGGAGCGGCCGAUAUCAGAUUAGGUAGUUGGUGGGGUAAAGGCCCACCAAGCCAACGAUCUGUAGCUGGUCUGAGAGGACUACCAGCCACGAUGGCACUAAGACACUGUCCAGACUCCUACGGGAGGCAGCAGUAGGGAAUUUUGGACAAUGGGCGAAAGCCUGAUCCUGCCAUUCCGCGUGCAGGAUGAAGGCCCUCGAGUUGUAAACUGCUUUUGUACAGAACGAAAAGGUUUCUACUAAUACUAGGAGCUCAUGACGGUACUGUAAGAAUAAGCACCGGCUAACUACGUGCCAGCAGCCGCGGUAA